GCAUGGCCGAAUUCUGUUCCAGCGAGUCUGUGGUGGACACAGUCAGACACCAUGCAAAAGUCAUGUCUCAUUUCUGCUAAAUUACUGGAUGAAUGCUUCCCUCAGCCUCAUCCAGCUGUACAGGAAUGAGUACAAUA
Plectropomus leopardus (leopard coralgrouper) is the source of this 137-nucleotide small nucleolar RNA. RefSeq annotates it as small nucleolar RNA SNORA15. NCBI's taxonomy places the organism in Eukaryota, Metazoa, Chordata, Actinopteri, Perciformes, Serranidae. The record is from RefSeq and is a predicted model, not a curated record.